GAAUAUUGCGCAAUGGGGGAAACCCUGACGCAGCAACGCCGCGUGGAGGAAGAAGGUCUUCGGAUUGUAACCUCCUGUCUUCUGGGACGAAGAAGAUGACGGUACCAGCGGAGGAAGCCACGGAUACCUACGUGCCAGCAGCCGCGGUAAUACGUAGGUGGCGAGCGUUGUCCGGAAUUACUGGGCGUAAAGGGCGCGUAGGCGGUUUUUUAAGUCAGAUGUGAAAACCCAGGGCUUAACUCUGGGAUUGCAUUUGAAACUGGGGAACUAGAGUGCAGGAGAGGUAAGUGGAAUUCCGAGUGUAGCGGUGAAAUGCGUAGAUAUUAGGAGGAACACCAGUGGCGAAGGCGACUUACUGGACUGUAACUGACGCUGAGGCGCGAAAGCGUGGGGAGCAAACA
RNAcentral lists this ribosomal RNA (401 nucleotides) under uncultured bacterium. RNAcentral's name for it is "partial 16S ribosomal RNA". It matches the Rfam family "Bacterial small subunit ribosomal RNA", at positions 359 to 774 of the family's 1533-position model. The record is from RNAcentral.